CCAGACUCCUACGGGAGGCAGCAGUGGGGGAUAUUGCACAAUGGGGGGAACCCUGAUGCAGCGACGCCGCGUGGGUGAAGGAGUGCUUCGGCAUGUAAAGCCCUAUCGGCAGGGAAGAAGCAAGACGGUACCUGACUAAGAAGCCCCGGCUAACUACGUGCCAGCAGCCGCGGUAAUACGUAGGGGGCAAGCGUUAUCCGGAUUUACUGGGUGUAAAGGGAGCGUAGACGGCUGUGCAAGUCAGAAGUGAAAGCCCGGGGCUCAACCCCGGGACUGCUUUUGAAACUGCGUGGCUGGAGUGCAGGAGAGGUAAGCGGAAUUCCUGGUGUAGCGGUGAAAUGCGUAGAUAUCAGGAGGAACACCAGUGGCGAAGGCGGCUUGCUGGACGAUGACUGACGUUGAGGCUCGAAAGCGUGGGGAGCAAACAGGAUUAGAUACCCCCGUAGCU
This 448-nucleotide ribosomal RNA is filed under the name uncultured bacterium. RNAcentral describes it as "bacterial SSU rRNA". It matches the Rfam family "Bacterial small subunit ribosomal RNA", at positions 331 to 795 of the family's 1533-position model. The record is from RNAcentral.